AGCUUGCCAGGAAAAUUUGAGACAGAACAAGUGCACAACCAGUAAGCUGCGCAGUCAACAAGGAGCUAUCUUAUCCAGAGCCCAUGGCUGGAGUGGCGUUCCGCAACAAUCUCGACAAUAUACCAGGAAGUGCUGGCUAUCUGUAACAACUGGGCAUGAUAAAGAUCAUAAAAGUCAUUCGCCUUUUGCGAAAGAUUUGCUACCGCUGUCUCAAAGCAGGGUAUGCGCUGGGACUCUUGCUGUGAUGAACUCAGCUGGUGACUGCCCACAGUCUGUUUAUCGUCUACAACGCAAAAUUCAUCAGAAGACUACAGCAGAGACCCUUUGGCCCAUCCUUUCUGUGCCAGUCGAAAGCAAUUAUCUCCCUAUUCUGAAUUCAUUUAUCAGCAGUUGGCCUAUAGUCUUCUACGCCUUGGCAUCACAAGUGCUAUCUAAAUACUUUUUUAAAUGUAUUGAGUUUCUGCCUCUCCCACGUUCCUGUUCCAGAUUCCCGCCAAGCUACGGGUGAAAGGGGUUUUCCUCACAUCUCUAAAUCUUUUGCCCUUACCUUUUUAAGCUAUACGUCCAUCAGGCCAUGAGUGUGGUGGAGUAGCCCUCACUUGACUGGAAGAAUGAAACCCCAAAAACACUAAAGAGCCUGCUUGAUUGGCACAAUAUGUAAAUCAGUCCCUCCAUAACUGACUCCCAGUAGUGGCUGUGUGCAGUCAACGAGUCACACUGAAAUAACUCAGGCUCCUUAGAUGACAACACCUAAAUCUGCAACCAAUAUUUUCUAGUUGGAGAAGGGCAGCAAUUACAUUAGAAUGUCACAGCCACCCUCAAACAACACACAAACUCCCACCCAGCUUAUUUACCAUCAUCAUUUGGAAAUGUCGGCAUUCCUUCAGUGAUGCUGGGUAAAAUCAUUGAACUCCCUCUCUAACAGCAUCAUAGGCUUACUUAUUCAAAAUACAGCAAGUUCAAGAAGACAGCUCAGCGCCAACUUCUCGAGGACAACUAGGGAUAGACAAUAAAUGCUCACUUAGCAGCAAAGCCCAUGUCCCAUUAAUGAAUUGACUACAUUUUUAAACACCUCCAUUUCUUGUCUUAGUCUUGCCACUUGCUCUAACCACACCCUCACUUCUCUGAUCUGCAUGUAUCUUUUAGAAUGUGGACUGCAGCAUUUCAAGAGGGUAGCUCACCAGUGCCAUUUCAAAGGCAAAGGAUGAUCAAUAAAUCAUGACUGCCAGCAACACCUACAUCGCAAAUGUGAAUAAAAUAAAAUCUCUGCUCGUAGUCUUCCUCGUUCUUACUAUAAUGACAUAGUUUA
Molecule: long non-coding RNA, 1309 nt
Organism: Stegostoma tigrinum
Lineage: Eukaryota; Metazoa; Chordata; Chondrichthyes; Orectolobiformes; Stegostomatidae
Exons: 3
Source: RefSeq, a predicted model, not a curated record